AGUGAACGCUGGCGGUAGGCCUAACACAUGCAAGUCGAACGGCAGCACAGUAAGAGCUUGCUCUUACGGGUGGCGAGUGGCGGACGGGUGAGGAAUACAUCGGAAUCUACUUUUUCGUGGGGGAUAACGUAGGGAAACUUACGCUAAUACCGCAUACGACGUACGGCUGAAAGCAGGGGAUCUUCGGACUUUGCGCGUCUGAUUGAGCCGAUGUCGGAUUAGCUAGUUGGCGGGGUAAGGGCCCACCAAGGCGACGAUGCGUAGCUGGUCUGAGAGGAUGAUCAGCCACACUGGAACUGAGACACGGUCCAGACUCCUACGGGGGGCAGCAGUGGGGAAUAUUGGACAAUGGGCGCAAGCCUGAUCCAGCCAUGCCGCGUGGGUGAAGAAGGUCUUCGGGUUGUAAAGCCCUUUUGUUGGGAAAGAAAAGCAGCAGGUUAAUACCCCGCUGUUCUGACGGUACCCAAAGAAUAAGCACCGGCUAACUUCGUG
This 492-nucleotide ribosomal RNA is filed under the name uncultured bacterium. Its description in RNAcentral is "partial 16S ribosomal RNA". It matches the Rfam family "Bacterial small subunit ribosomal RNA", at positions 29 to 507 of the family's 1533-position model. The record is from RNAcentral.